UUCCGGUUGAUCCUGCCGGACCUGACUGCUAUCGGAUUGAUACUAAGCCAUGCGAGUCAUUGUAGCAAUACAAGGCAGACGGCUCAGUAACGCGUAGUCAACCUACCCUAUGGACGGGGAUAACCUCGGGAAACUGAGAAUAAUACCAGAUAGAACAUUAUGCCUGGAAUGGUUUAUGUUUCAAAUAAUUUAUUGCCGUAGGAUGGGACUGCGGCCUAUCAGUUUGUUGGUGAGGUAAUGGCCCACCAAGACUAUUACAGGUACGGGCUCUGAGAGGAGUAGCCCGGAGAUGGGUACUGAGACACGGACCCAGGCCCUAUGGGGCGCAGCAGGCGAGAAAACUUUGCAAUGUGCGAAAGCACGACAAGGUUAAUCCGAGUGGUUUCUGCUAAAGGAACCUUUUGUUAGUCCUAGAAACACUAACGAAUAAGGGGUGGGCAAGUUCUGGUGUCAGCCGCCGCGGUAAAACCAGCACCUCAAGUGGUCAGGAUGAUUAUUGGGCCUAAAGCAUCCGUAGCCUGCUCUGUAAGUUUUCGGUUAAAUCUGUACGCUUAACGUACAGGCCGCCGGAAAUACUGCAGAGCUAGGGAGUGGGAGAGGUAGACGGUACUCGGGAGGAAGUGGUAAAAUGCUUUGAUCUCUCGAUGACCACCUGUGGCGAAGGCGGUCUACCAGAACACGUCCGACGGUGAGGGAUGAAAGCUGGGGGAGCAAACCGGAUUAGAUACCCGGGUAGUCCCAGCCGUAAACUAUGCAAACUCAGUGAUGCAUUGGCUUGUGGCCAAUGCAGUGUUGCAGGGAAGCCGUUAAGUUUGCCGCCUGGGAAGUACGUACGCAAGUAUGAAACUUAAAGGAAUUGGCGGGGGAGCACCACAAGGGGUGAAGCCUGCGGUUCAAUUGGAGUCAACGCCGGGA
Molecule: ribosomal RNA, 915 nt
Filed under: uncultured crenarchaeote
Lineage: Archaea; Thermoproteati; Thermoproteota
Description: bacterial SSU rRNA
Rfam family: Archaeal small subunit ribosomal RNA
Source: RNAcentral